UCGGCGUAGAUCGGCACGAUCACCGCCUCGUUGGCGAUCAGGAAGUUCAUGUGCGAGGCCGGGAUGAUCUCGCCGUCCUCGUCGAC
Molecule: transfer RNA, 86 nt
Filed under: Caulobacter rhizosphaerae
Lineage: Bacteria; Pseudomonadati; Pseudomonadota; Alphaproteobacteria; Caulobacterales; Caulobacteraceae
Description: tRNA-Thr
Source: RNAcentral